AUCUGCCCAGUAGCGGGGGAUAGCUCGGGGAAACUCGAAUUAAUACCGCAUACGCCCCACGGGGGAAAGGCCGGGAUCUUCGGACCGGUCGCUACUGGAUGAGCCUGCGUUGGAUUAGCUUGUUGGUGGGGUAAAGGCCUACCAAGGCGACGAUCCAUAGCUGGUCUGAGAGGAUGAUCAGCCACACUGGGACUGAGACACGGCCCAGACUCCUACGGGAGGCAGCAGUGGGGAAUAUUGCACAAUGGGGGAAACCCUGAUGCAGCCAUGCCGCGUGUGUGAAGAAGGCCUUCGGGUUGUAAAGCACUUUAAGUUGGGAGGAAAAGCUGGGAGUUAAUAGCUCCUAGUGUUGACGUUACCAACAGAAUAAGCACCGGCUAACUCCGUGCCAGCAGCCGCGGUAA
Molecule: ribosomal RNA, 404 nt
Filed under: Eutreptiella gymnastica
Lineage: Eukaryota; Euglenozoa; Euglenophyceae; Eutreptiales; Eutreptiaceae
Description: partial Bacterial small subunit ribosomal RNA
Rfam family: Bacterial small subunit ribosomal RNA
Source: RNAcentral